RNAcentral lists this ribosomal RNA (366 nucleotides) under uncultured eukaryote. RNAcentral's name for it is "partial 18S ribosomal RNA". It matches the Rfam family "Eukaryotic small subunit ribosomal RNA", at positions 592 to 976 of the family's 1831-position model. The record is from RNAcentral.
CAAUAGCGUAUAUUAACGUUGUUGCAGUUAAAAAGCUCGUAGUUGGAUUUCUGGAGGGAGCGUCGGCCCGUAUUUACGAGUGCGUGACGUCUCUGUCCAUCCUUGCGGGAAGGCACGGCAUUGAUUUGUUGUGUCGGAUCGCAUCAUUUACUGUGAAAAAAUUAGAGUGUUCAAAGCAGGCUUUCGCUUGAAUACAUUAGCAUGGAAUAAUAAGAUCGGACUUUGGUGCUAUUUUGUUGGUUGAGCCUAAAGUAAUGAUUAAUAGGGAUAGUUGGGGGCACCUGUAUUGCGUUGUCAGAGGUGAAAUUCUUGGAUUUACGCAAGACAAACAGCUGCGAAAGCGUCUGCCAAGGAUGUUUUCAUUAA